CCUACGGGUGGCAGCAGUGAGGAAUAUUGGUCAAUGGGCGAGAGCCUGAACCAGCCAAGUCGCGUGAGGGAAGACGGUCCUAUGGAUUGUAAACCUCUUUUGCCGGGGAGCAAAAAGCGGUACGUGUACCGCAUCGAGAGUACCCGGAGAAAAAGCAUCGGCUAACUCCGUGCCAGCAGCCGCGGUAAUACGGAGGAUGCGAGCGUUAUCCGGAUUUAUUGGGUUUAAAGGGUGCGCAGGCGGCGAGUUAAGUCAGCGGUAAAAUUUCGGGGCUCAACCCCGACGAGCCGUUGAAACUGGCUUGCUAGAGUGGGCGAGAAGUAUGCGGAAUGCGUGGUGUAGCGGUGAAAUGCAUAGAUAUGACGAAGAACCCCGAUUGCGAAGGCAGCUUGCUGCAGCGGAACUGACGCUGAUGCUCGAAAGCGCGGGUAUCGAACAGGAUUAGAUACCCUUGUAGUC
This 459-nucleotide ribosomal RNA is filed under the name uncultured bacterium. Its description in RNAcentral is "partial 16S ribosomal RNA". It matches the Rfam family "Bacterial small subunit ribosomal RNA", at positions 338 to 795 of the family's 1533-position model. The record is from RNAcentral.